UGGAGAAUUUUUUGCAAUGAGCGAAAGCUUGACAAAGCCAUACCGCGUGAAGGAUGAAGGUUUAUUAAAUUGUAAACUUCUUUUGUCGGGGAAGAAAUAAUGACGGUACCCGAAGAAUAAGCAUCGGCUAAUUCUGUGCCAGCAGCCGCGGUAAGACAGGAGAUGCAAGCGUUAUCUGGAUUUAUUGGGCGUAAAGGGUUUGUAGACUGUUUAAUAAGUUUUUUGUUAAAUGCUAGAGCUUAACUUUAGUUUUACAUUAAAUACUAUUUUACUUGAGUUUAAUAGGGGUAAAGGGAAUUUUCAGUGUAGUAGUGAAAUGCGUUGAUAUUGAAAAGAACACCGAUGGCGAAAGCACUUUACUAGGUUUAAACUGACGUUGAGAAACGAAAGCUAAGGGAGC
This 400-nucleotide ribosomal RNA is filed under the name uncultured bacterium. RNAcentral describes it as "bacterial SSU rRNA". It matches the Rfam family "Bacterial small subunit ribosomal RNA", at positions 355 to 769 of the family's 1533-position model. The record is from RNAcentral.